Molecule: ribosomal RNA, 497 nt
Filed under: uncultured bacterium
Lineage: Bacteria
Description: partial 16S ribosomal RNA
Rfam family: Bacterial small subunit ribosomal RNA
Source: RNAcentral
AACGAACGCUGGCGGCGUGCCUAAUACAUGCAAGUUGAGCGAUGAAGAUUGGUGCUUGCACCAAUUUGAAGAGCAGCGAACGGGUGAGUAACGCGUGGGGAAUCUGCCUUUGAGCGGGGGACAACAUUUGGAAACGAAUGCUAAUACCGCAUAACAACUUUAAACAUAAGUUUUAAGUUUGAAAGAUGCAAUUGCAUCACUCAAAGAUGAUCCCGCGUUGUAUUAGCUAGUUGGUGAGGUAAAGGCUCACCAAGGCGAUGAUACAUAGCCGACCUGAGAGGGUGAUCGGCCACAUUGGGACUGAGACACGGCCCAAACUCCUACGGGAGGCAGCAGUAGGGAAUCUUCGGCAAUGGACGAAAGUCUGACCGAGCAACGCCGCGUGAGUGAAGAAGGUUUUCGGAUCGUAAAACUCUGUUGGUAGAGAAGAACGUUGGUGAGAGUGGAAAGCUCAUCAAGUGACGGUAACUACCCAGAAAGGGACGGCUAACUACGUG